Molecule: long non-coding RNA, 631 nt
Filed under: Ananas comosus (pineapple)
Lineage: Eukaryota; Viridiplantae; Streptophyta; Magnoliopsida; Poales; Bromeliaceae
Description: long non-coding RNA (ACOM_LNC018450)
Source: RNAcentral
UUCAUAUUAAUUUAAGGGAUAAUUUCAUACACAUUUUUAUAAACAUAUUGAAUAACAAAUAUUUUUCUAUAAAGUUUAAUUUUUUAUAUUUAUCUUUCAAAAAAUCAUAAUGGUUUCAAGUGUAAUAUCCAUUAGAAAAAUGUAGAUAAUCAUAGAUAAAAUACUUAAUUUUGAUUAGUGAGUAAAGAUAAAUUGACCUUUUGAUCCCUCUUCUUUUUCUUUUUCUUCUUCCUCCUCUCCCUCUUCUCCCCUUCAUACUAGUUUCGAAUAUGUAAUUAGGGUUUUUCCGUCUUCACUCAUCCAAGCUUUGUCCAAAUCGAGUGCCGAGAAAUAGGUAUUAAACAGGUAAAAGAGAAGAGGAGUGAGAGAAGGGGUAGAGAAAAAGGUUACAACAAUAGUAGAUUCAGUUAGUUUUUAUAAAGAAAGAAGAUAACCAUUAAAAAUUUUUGGAAAGAUAUUUUUACAUGAUCUAACAAUUUAGACUUUUAGAAUGAUAUAUUCACAAUGGCAAAAUUGAUAUUUUUAUUUUUUUUAAUUAAAAAAAUGAACAGUCAAACCAAACUUUUUUAAAAAUAAAUUUGAAAAACUUAAAUUUUAUAGGAAUAUAUAUUUACAGAUAGCUAUAUGAAAU